Molecule: RNA transcript, 2006 nt
Organism: Zingiber officinale
Lineage: Eukaryota; Viridiplantae; Streptophyta; Magnoliopsida; Zingiberales; Zingiberaceae
Exons: 7
Source: RefSeq, a predicted model, not a curated record
CUUUUUGUUCUAUUGCUGGCUUUCGUUUUUCUACGCUGUGUUGAGCGAUCUGAUACCUUUGAGGGGUCUUUUUCACCUAUUUGUUCGGUUCAUCUUCCGAUUGUUCUUGAUUUUGUGGUUGUUUGAUCGAGAAAUGGGGGAUUUCUACGCGGACUUGACGGCGUUGAUGAGGAAGCCGGCGGUGGUGGAGACCCUGAUCGACGUUCUGCUUUGCGCAGUGCCGAUCUGGUUGUCAGUCUUGAUCGGGUUAGUCAUCGGGUGGUCGUGGCGGCCGCGGUGGACGGGGUUGCUCUACCUUGGCCUCCGGAGUAGGUUCCGGUUCAUCUGGACGGCGCCGCCGGGGUUCAGCGCCCGAAGGCUUUGGCUCGCGGUGACCGCACUCUCGGCCUUCUCCGUUUUCCGGAAAUUGUGGUCGAGUUUCGAGGGGAAGAACGGGGAGCUUCCGGCGGCGGAAGGACCGGGGUCGACGACGCUAGUAUCCAUGAGCUCAGCGGCGAUUGAAAGAGAUAGCGACAGUUUGAGUUCGAGCAUUGAAAUGGAUGAGCAAGAUAUUGUUUCCGAAAAGGAUUUGGAGCAUCUAUUGCACAUUCUAGAUAGUAAUGUUGGAGAUGCAGCUUGGCAGAAUCAGAUGGAACGCACCACGUCCAAUAUGAUUUACCAAUCAUGGCGUCAUGAGCCAAAGGAGGGCCCUAUAAUUUAUCGUAGCAGAACAGUUUUUGAGGACGCAACUCCGGAAUUGGUCAGAGACUUUUUCUGGGAUGAUGAUUUCCGGUUAAAAUGGGAUUCAAUGCUUGUACACUUCAAAAUAUUGGAGGAAUUCCAUCAGAGUGGAACCAUGAUUGUACACUGGAUUAAAAAGUUCCCAUUUUUUUGCAAUGAUAGGGAAUAUAUAAUUGCUCGUCGUAUAUGGGAGUCUAGAGGGAGCUAUUAUUGUGUGACAAAGGGAAUACCAUACCCAUCUUUACCCAAAAAGGAGAAACCCAGGCGCGUCGAUCUGUACUUCUCUAGUUGGUGCAUCAGGGCCGUGGAAUCGCACAAGCAAGAUGGCCAACUAUCUGCAUGUGAAGUAACUCUCGUCCACUUCGAGGACAUGGGCAUACCCAAGGAUGUCGCCAAGGUUGGUGUUCGACAUGGGAUGUGGGGGGCAGUUAAGAAACUGCAUUCUGGUUUGAGGGCAUAUCAACUGAUGGCGAGAACUGAAGCUUCUCUAUCUAGAUGUGCGCUCAUGGCACAAAUCACAACUAAGGUUUCCCACAAUGGAGCCAUCACUCAACUCGAACCAGAGUCCUCGAGCUCUACUUCUAGAACAGCUGACAGCAUUGCCAAAUAUGAUAAGGCGCAUCGAGGAAUCGACUGGAAAUGGGUGGUUAUUGGGGGAGUUACUGUGGCAUGUGGUCUUCAUGCUGGUCAUAUUGGAAAAGCCCUCUUAGUUGGAGGAGCUGCAGCGAGACUCGCAAAAAAGUGAGUCGGAGGGCAUGCUGUAAUUGAAGGCUGAGCUGAUCAGAUUUACUUCGGAUCUUGGCAUGUUUGUAGGAACAACAUUCAAUUUGUCUCGAUUGUCUUGUCUGCAAGAAGGGCUGCUAGUAAACAGAGAAAACUGCAACUCGCCGACGGAAAAUACAGGUUUUGGUGACUACUUGCUCGGUUGUAUUCGCGUGAAGCUAGCAUUGAAGUUAUGCAGUAAUUCUUCAUCAAAAUGCUCCAAUAUUUUGAAAUCUCAUUUAAACACUCGAGUCCUUGUUGCCUUUGUUUCUUGAAACAUGUUAUCAUUCUUGCAGCGAACCUAUUCAACCCCUUGACUUUCGAAGAUAUAGUCAACGUGACAGUACAUGGGAGAUCAACAUCAACUUGAUGAAAACUAAAGAAGCAGAUCCUGAUUUAUUUCAUUUCGAAAUAUGCUGGAAUAGCCUCCAUUGUCAAUAUACUAUCGAAACAACGUUUCCCUUACAACUCAAUUAAAACAAGCUGUGCAAUAAACAAAUUAAAUGUUAUUUUACCUUUUAUAA